UUGUGAAGUUCUGUCCUCAGUUCUCAGUUUAAACUCCUCCAGUCUGAAACAUCUGAACCUGAGUAACAAUAAACUGAAGGAUUCAGGAGUGAAGCUGCUCUCUGCUGGACUGGAGAAUCCAUACUGUAAACUGGAGAUACUGUGGUUGUGGAGCUGCAAUAUUACAGUUGAAGGUUUUACUGCUCUGGCUUCAGCUCUGAAAUCAAAUCCAUCAUCACGUCUGAGGGAACUGCAAUUGCACGACAAUCAUCCAAGAGAAUCAGGAGUAAAACUGCUCAAAGAUUUACAGGAGGAUCCACAAUGUAACCUAAAGGAACUACUGUUCUGAUUUGAAUACUCAUUAAAUUAUGAGAAGAAGAUGGAGAUAAACAUUAUCUAGUCUUCAUACUGGGAUUCUACAUGGUGACGAUUUAUUCAGCUUAUUACUGUUGAAUCUGUAAAGAUGCUUUCUGUAUAACUGUGUGUACAAGAUCAGCACACUCAAACCCACCCUGAAGUGCUGAUGGACCUUCUGUACAUCAGUACUGAAGUAAUGAGAUUGGAGAGUCCAUCAGGUUUCUGGUACCAUCUGUACUAAUCUGGUAGACUAAACACUGAGCACCUGGUACAUGUGAGUUAGGAGCUGCCAAACUGGGUAAGGGUACAUGAGGACUGCUUUAGAAAACCCUGUAUUAGCUUGAUGCAUUAGCAUGCUGUUCACUAUCUGACCUGUAAUGAAGAAGUUUAAAACUACUAGAGAUGUUGCCUGGAGGAGAACAUGAGGAGGAUUACUGGAGUGAAUCUCCAAGGAUCUCCGAUCGGAAAUUCAGACGUAAGUGAGGUCUCAAGUUUAGAGCCUCUGCUUACAUAACCACAAGAUGUUUAGAGGACUGGCUGAAGAAAGUCUCCUCUGUAUUCUCAUCCUGGAACUUUCCAACGGACCUUGUUGUGUGGUCAGAACAGGCCAAAAUAGACACAAAACAGUAGAGGUCCUGGGGUGGGGGGUACAUAAUGCCCUUUUUGAAAUGCAAAAUUAUGAAUCACUUUUAUUUACUGUACGUUCUAACCAACUGAUGUUAAAUAUAGAAGAUAAUGUAAAUAUUUGUUAAAAGUGACAGU
This is a long non-coding RNA of Trichomycterus rosablanca, 1098 nucleotides long. RefSeq lists it as uncharacterized. NCBI's taxonomy places the organism in Eukaryota, Metazoa, Chordata, Actinopteri, Siluriformes, Trichomycteridae. The transcript has 3 exons. The record is from RefSeq and is a predicted model, not a curated record.